Non-coding RNA from Schizosaccharomyces pombe (fission yeast), 469 nucleotides. The record is from the annotation of a GenBank genome assembly. Lineage: Eukaryota; Fungi; Ascomycota; Schizosaccharomycetes; Schizosaccharomycetales; Schizosaccharomycetaceae.
UUUUCUCCGCUAUACUCUUCAAAUCAAUGCCACGUGUUAAAUUCAUGGACCUCGAAUGGAUUCUCAAAAUUUCGGCACGUGCCUCAGCAGAUGGAGGUGGGAAUUCAAUUUUACGAUCAAUACGACCUGGACGAAGAAGAGCAGGAUCCAAGAUGUCGAUACGGUUAGUGGCCAUAAUGACCUUGAUAUUUUUGGUUGCUUCAAAUCCAUCAAGCUGAUUCAACAGCUCUAACAUGGUCCUCUGAACUUCGCUAUCGCCACUUCCACCACUAGAAUCAGAUCGUGAAGAGCCGAUGGAGUCGAUCUCAUCCAUGAAAAUAAUAGAAGGAGCAUGCUCACGAGCCAUAACAAAUAGUUCACGAACCAUACGACUACCUUCGCCAAUAUACUUUUGAACAAGUUCUGAUCCACUGACACGGAUGAAUUUGCAAUCGGUAUGGUGGGCAACUGCUCUAGCUAACAAGGUUUU